This 499-nucleotide unclassified non-coding RNA is filed under the name uncultured Glomus. RNAcentral describes it as "SSU rRNA". It matches the Rfam family "Eukaryotic small subunit ribosomal RNA", at positions 591 to 1092 of the family's 1831-position model. The record is from RNAcentral. Lineage: Eukaryota; Fungi; Glomeromycota; Glomeromycetes; Glomerales; Glomeraceae.
CCAAUAGCGUAUAUUAAAGUUGCUGCAGUUAAAAAGCUCGUAGUUGAAUUUCGGGACCAAUAUGUCGGUCGUGCUUCGGUACGUACUGUCAUAAUUGGUUUCUCCCUUCUGAAGAACCUUGAUGUCAUUAAUUUGGUGUCUUGGGGAAUCAGGACUGUUACUUUGAAAAAAUUAGAGUGUUUAAAGCAUGCUCGCGCUUGAAUACAUUAGCAUGGAAUAAUGAAAUAGGACGUUUGAUUCUAUUUUGUUGGUUUCUAGGAUCGACGUAAUGAUUAAUAGGGAUAGUUGGGGGCAUUAGUAUUCAAUUGUCAGAGGUGAAAUUCUUGGAUUUAUUGAAGACUAACUACUGCGAAAGCAUUUGCCAAGGAUGUUUUCAUUAAUCAAGAACGAAAGUUAGGGGAUCGAAGACGAUCAGAUACCGUCGUAGUCUUAACCAUAAACUAUGCCGACUAGGGAUCGGAUGAUGUUAAUUUUUUAAUGACUCAUUCGGCGCCUUACG